AGCAUGGGAAAUUUGAAUACCAGGCAGGUGCACACAGAGAAAAGACCAUGAAGGGCACAGCGAGAAGGCAGCCACCUGCACACCCAGGAGAGAGGCCUCAGGGGAAAUCAAACCUGCUGACACCUGCAUCUUGGACUUCUAGCCUCCAGCACUGUGAGAAAAUAAAUUGUUCAAGCCCCCCAGUCUGUGGCAUUUUGUUAUGGAAGCCCUAGCAGACUAACAUGGCGCCCUUGGGAAAAAGCAGGCCCAGGACCCUAUUCAGCCUCUCCCUGAAAAGAUGCACCCCAAGAAUUGAGGGCAACAACCCUCUAGAAGCCAGAUCCAGCAGUGACUCUGACACACCUAAGCCUUCAAGUCAUCAUCUUGGUCACUACUAUUCAAGAGCCUCUAUGCACUGCCCAACCCUACCUCCACGACCUCGUGAUUCUCACCCCAAUGCUAGGCUUUCACCCCAACCAACUCUAUCCCCCUGAGACAUCUUCCCUACACACUAAUCCCCUCCCUUCCCAUUCCUGACCCCACUGCACCUACACUGCCUCCUGUAUGGCUUGCCCCUCCAUCCCCCAUCUGUUGGGUGUUUUAAGUGCAUGUUCUGUGCAUCUCACUUCCUUCACUGGACUGCAAAUUCUCAAAGAUUAGUCUAGCAUUCAAGACCUUUCACAAGCUGGCCCCAACUUAGCUCUCCACCUUGUUCUCCCAACUGGGCCAAGUCAACAUCAAUCUACUCGCCAGCCCUUGAACAAUGCUCUUCACUAAGCUCUCCAAAACUUUCCCAGUCUCUAAAGCCAUCUGAAAUGCCACCUCCUCCAGAAAGCUCUCCCUGACUACCUUGGCUAAAUACAUAAGAGAACAAUGGCUCUUAUCUCUGUGCAAUUAUUCCAGUGCCCAGUUCUAGUGCUCUAACUGGGGCAAUAACUACUUAGAAAGAGAGGAAAGGAGUCUAAGGAACAUGGGGGUGCAAAACUGUAAUGUAAUUCUGAUGCCAACCACCCGGAGUUAGCACAGACCCCUCAGGUUUAAGGGCAGAGCCCCCAACAAGACUGCCCUCACUGUAGAUGCCAACUUCAAGUUUGGAGGUCCCCAGGCCACCUGCACUGCUGACUAACUGGCUACAAAUUCAAGGGUUCCCACACCCUCCUCAGGCUCGAUAACUUGCUAGAAUGACACAGAACUUAGGAAAGCACUCCACUUACAAUUACAGUUUUAUUAUAAAGGAUACAAAUCAGGACCAGCCAAAUGAAGAGACACAUAAUGCAAGAUCUGGCAGGCU
Molecule: long non-coding RNA, 1270 nt
Organism: Aethalodelphis obliquidens (Pacific white-sided dolphin)
Lineage: Eukaryota; Metazoa; Chordata; Mammalia; Artiodactyla; Delphinidae
Exons: 3
Source: RefSeq, a predicted model, not a curated record